ACAAUGCCUCUGACUUUUUCAUAGGACAGUUGGCCGGUGAAUCUUAUUAAUAGUUUACCACAAAUAAGUGUUCAUUUUUAGUCUAGAAGGGACAGGCGUUUAUUGUGCAUUGGCCAGUGCCAGCACAUCCGAUGCAAGGCAGUUCGCCGUAUUCUAUCUUUAAUUUUUACCAUGGUCCUCUGAGGUAGGUGUUCUUAUCUCUCUCUCUCUCUCUCUCUUUUAAACAGAGGAAGACAAACAUAAAGAUGAAGUGCUUAAUUCAAGGUCACACAAUGUCGGGGAUGGACCUCCAGAUUUCCUUACUGGAAAACAAGCUCAGGGCUCCCACUGAUUGUACAUUAUGAGACGGAGUCUUGCUAUGUUGCCCAGGCUGGUCUUGAACUCCUCACCUCAAGCGAUCCUCUCGUCUUGGCCUCCCAAGUGUCAGGAUUACAGGCAUGUGCUAUCACACCCAACCUGAUACAUUGCCUUUAUAAAUUUUUUUUUCUUUAUUCUAAAAACCAGAAAAAACAAAACUGGAUACAUGUGCAGAACAUGCAGGUUUGUUACAUAGCUGUACGUGUGCCAUGGUGGUUUGCUGCACCUAUUGACCUAUCCUGUAAGUUCCCUCCCCUCACCCCCACCCCCCAACAGCCCU
Molecule: non-coding RNA, 637 nt
Filed under: Pan troglodytes (chimpanzee)
Lineage: Eukaryota; Metazoa; Chordata; Mammalia; Primates; Hominidae
Source: RNAcentral